Molecule: ribosomal RNA, 465 nt
Filed under: uncultured bacterium
Lineage: Bacteria
Description: bacterial SSU rRNA
Rfam family: Bacterial small subunit ribosomal RNA
Source: RNAcentral
CCUACGGGACGCACCAGUGGGGAAUAUUGCACAAUGGGCGCAAGCCUGAUGCAGCCAUGCCGCGUGUAUGAAGAAGGCCUUCGGGUUGUAAAGUACCUUCAGCGGGGAGGAAGGCGAUAAGGUUAAUAACCUUGUCGAUUGACGUUACCCGCAGAAGAAGCACCGGCUAACUCCGUGCCAGCAGCCGCGGUAAUACGGAGGGUGCAAGCGUUAAUCGGAAUUACUGGGCGUAAAGCGCACGCAGGCGGUUGAUUGAGUCAGAUGUGAAAUCCCCGGGCUUAACCCGGGAAUUGCAUCUGAUACUGGUCAGCUAGAGUCUUGUAGAGGGGGGUAGAAUUCCAUGUGUAGCGGUGAAAUGCGUAGAGAUGUGGAGGAAUACCGGUGGCGAAGGCGGCCCCCUGGACAAAGACUGACGCUCAGGUGCGAAAGCGUGGGGAGCAAACAGGAUUAGAUACCCCAGUAGUC